GACGAACGCUGGCGGCGUGCUUAACACAUGCAAGUCGAACGGAAAGGCCCUGCUUUUGUGGGGUGCUCGAGUGGCGAACGGGUGAGUAACACGUGAGUAACCUGCCCUUGACUUUGGGAUAACUUCAGGAAACUGGGGCUAAUACCGGGUAGGAGCUCCUGCUGCAUGGUGGGGGUUGGAAAGUUUCGGCGGUUGGGGAUGGACUCGCGGCUUAUCAGCUUGUUGGUGGGGUAGUGGCUUACCAAGGCUUUGACGGGUAGCCGGCCUGAGAGGGUGACCGGCCACGUUGGGACUGAGAUACGGCCCAGACUCCUACGGGAGGCAGCAGUGGGGAAUAUUGCACAAUGGGCGGAAGCCUGAUGCAGCAACGCCGCGUGCGGGAUGACGGCCUUCGGGUUGUAAACCGCUUUCGCCUGUGACGAAGCGUGAGUGACGGUAAUGGGUAAAGAAGCACCGGCUAACUACGUG
This 468-nucleotide ribosomal RNA is filed under the name uncultured bacterium. RNAcentral describes it as "partial 16S ribosomal RNA". It matches the Rfam family "Bacterial small subunit ribosomal RNA", at positions 28 to 507 of the family's 1533-position model. The record is from RNAcentral.